UACGGAGGGGACUAGCGUUGUUCGGAAUUACUGGGCGUAAAGCGCGCGUAGGCGGAUUUGCAAGUCGGGGGUGAAAGCCCGAGGCUCAACCUCGGAACUGCCUUCGAUACUGCAAAUCUCGAGUCCGAGAGAGGUGAGUGGAAUUCCUAGUGUAGAGGUGAAAUUCGUAGAUAUUAGGAAGAACACCAGUGGCGAAGGCGGCUCACUGGCUCGGUACUGACGCUGAGGCGCGAAAGCGUGGGGAGCAAACAGG
Molecule: ribosomal RNA, 253 nt
Filed under: uncultured bacterium
Lineage: Bacteria
Also listed under: 4 other names
Description: partial 16S ribosomal RNA
Rfam family: Bacterial small subunit ribosomal RNA
Source: RNAcentral